GAUGAACGCUGGCGGCGUGCCUAAUACAUGCAAGUCGAGCGAACAGAUGAGGAGCUUGCUCCUCUGACGUUAGCGGCGGACGGGUGAGUAACACGUGGAUAACCUACCUAUAAGACUGGGAUAACUUCGGGAAACCGGAGCUAAUACCGGAACAUAUAUUGAACCGCAUGGUUCAAUAGUGAAAGACGGUUUUGCUGUCACUUAUAGAUGGAUCCGCGCUGCAUUAGCUAGUUGGUAAGGUAACGGCUUACCAAGGCAACGAUGUGUAGCCGACCUGAGAGGGUGAUCGGCCACACGGGAUCUGAGACACGGUCCAGACUCCUACGGGAGGCAGCAGUAGGGAAUCUUCCGCAAGGGGCGAAAGCCUGACGGAGCAACGCCGCGUGAGUGAUGAAGGUCUGCGGAUCGUAAAACUCUGUUAUGAGGGAAGAACAAAUGUGUAAGUAACUAUGCACGUCUGGACGGUACCUAAUCAGAAAGCCACGGCUAACUACGU
Molecule: ribosomal RNA, 496 nt
Filed under: uncultured bacterium
Lineage: Bacteria
Description: partial 16S ribosomal RNA
Rfam family: Bacterial small subunit ribosomal RNA
Source: RNAcentral